This 382-nucleotide ribosomal RNA is filed under the name uncultured eukaryote. RNAcentral describes it as "partial 18S ribosomal RNA". It matches the Rfam family "Eukaryotic small subunit ribosomal RNA", at positions 592 to 976 of the family's 1831-position model. The record is from RNAcentral.
UGUAAGCGUAUACCAAAGUUGUUGCCGUUAAAACGCUCGUAGUCGGAAUUUGGCAGUUCCGGAUGUGUGCACGUCGUGUGCGCACUUCGCGGGGAUUGCUUUUGUGGUCUUGCGUAGGAUGAGGCACUUUUAUUAGUGAACGUCCUCACGCAACCACUUUUUACUGUGAGAAAAUCAGAGUGCUCAAAGCAGGCAUUUGCCGUGAAUGUAUUAGCAUGGAAUAAUAGAAUAGGACUUGGUUCUAUUUUGUUGGUUUGUUGGGACUGAGUAAUGAUUAAGAGGGACAGUUGGGGGCAUUUGUAUUUCGGUGCUAGAGGUGAAAUUCUUAGAUUACCGAAAGACAAACUGCUGCGAAAGCGUCUGCCAAGGAUGUUUUCAUUGA